UACGGAGGAUCCAAGCGUUAUCCGGAUUUAUUGGGUUUAAAGGGUGCGUAGGCGGCCUAUUAAGUCAGGGGUGAAAGACGGUAGCUUAACUAUCGCAGUGCCCUUGAUACUGAUGGGCUUGAAUACACUAGAGGUAGGCGGAAUGUGACAAGUAGCGGUGAAAUGCAUAGAUAUGUCACAGAACACCAAUUGCGAAGGCAGCUUACUAUGGUGUCAUUGACGCUGAGGCACGAAAGCGUGGGGAUCAAACAGG
RNAcentral lists this ribosomal RNA (253 nucleotides) under uncultured bacterium. RNAcentral's name for it is "partial 16S ribosomal RNA". It matches the Rfam family "Bacterial small subunit ribosomal RNA", at positions 524 to 776 of the family's 1533-position model. The record is from RNAcentral.